UAGCCCGUUACUGGUACGCAGCUACGCACUACACCGCGGUGUUGGUGCAGCCUCUCCGAAGACAAAGGCGCAGCAGUCAUGGCGACUUUCGGCCGACUUGUUAGAACCGCCAGGGCGUGGCGUGAAAUCGCGUAUCCCAAAACCCUCAACCUCUCUCGUGUCCGCUCACAUGACUUCCUUCGCCGUCUUCAUCACCGGUCUGCAUCAGAAAUUCUACGGCCACUAUUGCUGCCUAAUGCUGAUCGCACUUACUCAACACUUCCAGCUAUUUUAUCUGCUUUCUUUGGAGUUGGAAUGCUACAAGUAGCCUAUGCGGAUUCUGAUCAGGCUGCUGCUGAACCUUCAUUGCCGUCGGAAUCUCCUUCAAGUUAUAAGGACCUAGAGGAGAUUGCCAAGCAAGAAAGGCAGCGAAUUGAGGAGCUGCUUAAAAGUAAAGGAGUUAGAUUCGGUUAUUACCCCCGCUUCACUGUUGCUGUUAAGGGUCAAAAGGUCACGAUCAAGUUUCAAAUUCCUCCUGCAUGUGAUGUUCCACAGUUGAUUGCAAACCUGGUUUCAAAUCUUGGACUGAAGGUUGAUGAGCGUGGUGGUGGUUCAGACAUGCUGUUACGUGCCUGGGACAGUGCAGUUGCAUGGCAACUAACACUUAGCUGUCCAGAAAAACAGAAGAAACCUGAUGGGGACACAGGACAUUCUGCAGAUGUUAAUACAACUGAGGGAAAUCUAUGCAUUCUCAUAUUUCGUUCACUCAUUAGCACAGAUAAAGCAGAAAUUGAGUUUAUAAAGGGUGGAAGCUUAAGCACCAAAGAGCUUGAAGCUCUGGUGUCUGUUCUACAAUUAGCUGGUGGGAGAUUGAAGAUUUCAGAAAGAACAGAAAGAAAACCAGGGGAAGGUGCUGCUCGAAUGCCGUCUGCAGAAAAAUCAGUUGCCACUUUGGAGUCCAUGGGAGUCAGAAUAUAUGGACUCGAUGAACCACAUGUAAAUUCUUCUAGUGGUGAGAUAACAUGGGACAAUAUUGCUGGGUAUGAUCAGCAAAAACGGUAUGUAACAUGAAUGUCCAAUGUACAACCUUUAUUAUUACAUUUUGAUUGAAUUUAAUUUUUUUUUUCUUGCAUUUGUUAGCGUGAUAUUAUAAGAAUUGGGAUAAUAAUACAAUGAAAUUGGCGUUUUAGGCCCAAUGUUUGAGGACCUGUCAACAUGUAAUGGGAAUUUUUACUUAGCCGAAUUAUUUAUAUUUCAACAGUUGAGUCUCAAUUUAUUAUGUAUGGAAAUCAGAUUGGUUUUCUUAAUGAGCCAGAAUGACUCAUUAGUCAAAUUUGUGUUCAUUUUGCUGUGCUAUCUCUGCAGAAGAGUGCAUAUAUGUGGUUAUCAUGGGAUGGACUUACAAGCACAUAUUGUUUUACUGUUUAGUAUCAUGCUUCUAGUCAUAUGCAUGAAAGUGCUGACAGAUACUCCUCUUUAACUGGCCAUUAUCUAGAGAAAUAGAAGAUACAAUCUUGUUGGCUCUUCAUAGUCCUGAAGUAUAUGAUGAUAUUGCUCGUGGGACACGGCGUAAGUUUGAGUCAAAUAGACCUCGAGCUGUGCUUUUUGAAGGUCCACCAGGUUCAUCUUCUAGCCAAGAUCUCAGGGAAAUAUGUUGUUGAAAGUGAUUUCUUUAUUAUUAUUAUUAUUCAUGUGUAAGAAUAAUGUUUAUGGUGCUUCUACAUUUUUUUUGUCAACCUUUGGAAGCCUGAAGGGCAUCAAACACAUAUAGGCCUGCCUUCCACUCCAAAGCUUUAUUGUAUUAUUUUGAUCACAAAACUACAUGAUUCUUGGCCUUAAUUUUUGAAUGAUUAGUGAAAUACAUAAAACAUUGUUGUUUGUUCUGUUGAUUGUCAGUAUUCCUAUCUGCCUGUAUAAUCAUUUCAUUUGGUUUGUACACCUAUAUUGUAGCGAGACACGUACUUAGUUGAUAUGGACAAGCCUGCUUAUAAUUUAUGAUAAUUUCCAGGCACAGGGAAGACAUCUUGUGCACGUGUUAUCGCUAAUCAAGCGGUGAGCCACAGUACUUAAUAGACAAUAUCAGUACUUUUCACCUUAAUACUAUCCUUGCAUUCUUCUUCUUUGUCUUUCUAAUUUUAUUUAAAUCAUUCUUAGUUAAAUUUGAUCAUGCCUUUUGAGUUGUGCCAAUGAGAAGAAAUUUCUCAGAACUUUGAUUCUGAGUUAUUUCAUAAGGUGUCCUUACCCAUGUGAUCUUUUGUCCAUGGAUUGGUAUCCUUCCUCUCUCUCUUCUAAAGGAAUUUGAACCUGAUAAAGACAAGGAUUGCUGGUAUGUCAAUAGUAAUUUCCUGAAAUAAGAAUACAUGUAUGCUGUUUAUUGCUUGCUUGAGUUGCUGAUAUGCUAAUUUAAUUAAGAGUAAAUUAAUGUGUGUCCUGGAGAGUUUUUCACCUGCGUGAUACAAACUUCAGGAUAAGAUAUACUGAUAGCAUCUGAGUUUUACUUUACCCUUGAUGUAAAAUCUCGUCCGCAACACUUGAUAUAAAGAAAUCAAAUAUGCAUAUGUUUAUGCCUUGACAGGGUGUCCCAUUGCUAUAUGUGCCUUUGGAGGUUGUGAUGUCAAAAUACUAUGGGGAAAGUGAACGAUUGUUGGGAAAAGUUUUCUCACUUGCUAAUGAGCUUCCUAAUGGUGCUAUCAUUUUUCUGGAUGAGGUUGAUUCUUUUGCCAUUGCUCGUGAUAGUGAAAUGCAUGAAGCUACACGUAGAAUUUUGUCAGUUUUAUUGCGACAGAUUGAUGGAUUUGAACAGGAUAAGAAAGUGGUUGUCAUUGCUGCAACAAAUAGAAAACAAGACCUUGAUCCUGCUUUAAUGAGCCGAUUUGAUUCAAUGAUUACUUUUGGCCUCCCUGAUGAGAAAAACCGUCAGGAAAUUGUUGCCCAAUAUGCAAAGCACCUAACCAAAUCAGAUAUGGAGGAGCUUGCCAAAGUCACAGAAGACAUGUCUGGAAGGGAUAUUAGGGAUGUUUGUCAACAAGCUGAAAGGUCGCGGGCAUCAAAGAUAAUCCGAGGACAGGCAGAUAAAGAUGGAGAGCAAGGGUGCCUUCCAUCUUUGGCAGAAUAUAUUGAAAGUGCUAUGAAUAGGCGAAAGGCUAUACUUAGCAUUGCAAAUCAAAGAAGUCCAGGUUUUAAUCCACGCACAAGCAGAGGUCAAUUAGAUUUAUGUUAAGAGUAUGCAAAGAUGCGAUGAUAAUGAAUACACAUAAUUAGCAGGAGUAUUGCUUGCAAUUGAACAUUCUCUUUAUAAUGUAUAGACUAUAAAUAUCAUUUUUGUGUUUUGUAAACACAAUAUCUUCUGUCAGUGAUCAUAUGAUGUCUGUGGCUACGAUUGAUUCUCACUAAAUUCAUCAGCGAAAUGAAAUACUUGAGGAUAACAGCUCAAUAUCAAUACGAAGCUCACAUGGUUUCUGCUUGACUGGAAAGAAGAGUAAAUGGUAAUACAAAUGAAGUACCAGUGCCAGUGUCAUCGCGAACUUCAAAAGCUUAGCAAUAAAGCUCCUCCCCGGUAAAUCACGAAUGCAAACAAAAAGCCUACUCAGUUGAGCGAAGCAAAGCUUUUGAUUGAAGAAAGUGAGAUAAUGACUUUGUCUCGGAGGCAUGCCUGGUUGAAAGCUGGCUGCCAGAUCGUCCAAACUAGCAGCUCUUGGAGUCAAAACUUAGUUGGCUGUUAGAAUCUUCGCUGACGAGGUCAGCUGCGUUGAGAUUGUCCGUCAAGAAGUCAAACAACUUUUUCUAUUAGGAAUUCAAACAGACUAUUGACAUAUUUGAUCUGUUCUUCUGAGCAGCUUAUGCUUUAGUAGCUACCGUUUCACUGGCUCUAGUAUUCACUGGCUUUCAAGGAAUGGAAUAUUAUCAAGCACCCUUCACUAUUUCGGAUAGUAUUUAUGGUUCUACCUUUUUCUUAGCAACUGGCUUUCAUGGUUUUCAUGUGAUUAUAGGUACUCUUUUCUUGAUCAUAUGUGGUAUUCGCCAAUAUCUUGGUCAUCUGACCAAGGAGCAUCACGUUGGCUUUGAAGCAGCUGCAUGGUACUGGCAUUUUGUAGACGUGGUUUGGUUAUUCCUAUUUGUUUCUAUCUAUUGGUGGGGGGGUAUAUGAAGGAACGAAACAGUGGAUUGAGGAAUGAAAGCUCGAAGACAAAGAGAACCGGGCUUUUCCAAAGAAUUACUGCAGCUUUGCUGCUCCCUUUUUUUAUCAUAUACAAAAAAGUCUCUUCCACUUUCCUACUAAAUCUCUCUUUAUUCUGGCAUAUAAAUGAAGGGAUCGAAGAGAUUAUGGCAGAUUAUGUUCACCAAGAAAUGACCCGAAAUUGGAUCUUGGUCUAUUUGAGAUUGUUCCUUUUAAUCGUAAUCAAAGAUGUUUUCUUGUCUCUCGUUUUCUUCUGAAUAAAUCGAAGAACCUAAUGGAUCGA
This 4439-nucleotide unclassified non-coding RNA is filed under the name Hevea brasiliensis (rubber tree). The record is from RNAcentral. Lineage: Eukaryota; Viridiplantae; Streptophyta; Magnoliopsida; Malpighiales; Euphorbiaceae.